RNAcentral lists this RNase P RNA (387 nucleotides) under Clostridiales bacterium. Its description in RNAcentral is "RNase P RNA component class A". It matches the Rfam family "Bacterial RNase P class A". Rfam says of the family: Ribonuclease P (RNase P) is a ubiquitous endoribonuclease, found in archaea, bacteria and eukarya as well as chloroplasts and mitochondria. Its best characterised activity is the generation of mature 5'-ends of tRNAs by cleaving the 5'-leader elements of precursor-tRNAs. The record is from RNAcentral. Lineage: Bacteria; Bacillati; Bacillota; Clostridia; Eubacteriales.
UGAGUUAGCCGGACGGUCGCAUCAUUUUUUUGAUGAGGAAAGUCCGAGCAUCGCAGGGCGGAGCGCAAGAUAACAUCUUGUGGAGGCGACUCCAAGGAUAGUGCAACAGAAAUAAACCGCAUUAUAAUAUUAGACGGUUCUUAAAAAAACCGUCCGCGAGGAAUAUUCCGCGCGGAAAUAAUUAAUGCAAGGAUGGAAAGGGGAGGCAAGAGCUCACCGGCGUUUUGGCGACAUUACGCGCUAUGUAAACCCCGCUCGAUGCAAGAGAAUAACGGCGAAUAAGGUUGCCCGUCUUGCCGUUAUAAAUCGCUGGAGCCUGCCGGCGACGGCAGGCCUAGACAGAUGACCGUUCAAGACAGAACUCGGCUUACAGACUAAUCUCACAAA